GUUUGAUCAUGGCUCANAUUGAACGCUGGCGGCGUGCCUAACACAUGCAAGUCGAGCGGUAACAGGUGUAGCAAUACAUGCUGACNAGCGGCGGACGGGUGAGUAACGCUUGGGAAUCUGCCUGAUAGUGGGGGACAACCCGGGGAAACUCGGGCUAAUACCGCAUACGCACUACGGUGGAAAGNCGGGGACCGCNAGGNCUGGCGCUAUCANAUGAGCCCAAGUCGGAUUAGCUAGUUGGUAGGGUAACGGNCUACCAAGGCGACNAUCCGUAACUGGUCUGAGAGGACNACCANUCNCNCCGGAACUGAGACACGGUCCGGACUCCUACGGGAGGCAGCAGUGGGGAAUAUUGGACAAUGGGCGAAAGCCUGAUCCNGCGACGCCGCGUGGGUGAAGAAGGCCUGCGGGUUGUAAAGCCCUUUCNGUGGGGAAGAAAA
RNAcentral lists this ribosomal RNA (440 nucleotides) under uncultured bacterium. RNAcentral's name for it is "partial 16S ribosomal RNA". It matches the Rfam family "Bacterial small subunit ribosomal RNA", at positions 11 to 451 of the family's 1533-position model. The record is from RNAcentral.